GAUAGUGAUAUGGAGCGAACCGAAAAGACGGUCUCAGUUCGGAUUGAAGGCUGAAAUUCGCCUUCAUGAAGCCGGAAUUGCUAGUAAUGGCAGGUCAGCAUACUGCCGUGAAUACGUUCCCGGGCCUUGUACACACCGCCCGUCACACCAUGAGAGUUGGAAAUACCCGAAGCCUGUGAGCUAACUUAAGGGAGGCAGCAGUCGAAGGUAGAGCCAAUGAUUGGGGUGAAGUCGUAACAAGGUACC
RNAcentral lists this ribosomal RNA (246 nucleotides) under uncultured bacterium. Its description in RNAcentral is "partial 16S ribosomal RNA". It matches the Rfam family "Bacterial small subunit ribosomal RNA", at positions 1253 to 1500 of the family's 1533-position model. The record is from RNAcentral.